Molecule: long non-coding RNA, 485 nt
Filed under: Eutrema salsugineum
Lineage: Eukaryota; Viridiplantae; Streptophyta; Magnoliopsida; Brassicales; Brassicaceae
Description: long non-coding RNA (ESAL_LNC000024)
Source: RNAcentral
AGAUAAUACUUUUCCCAUCCACGGCUCAUAGAUACCAAUCCCAAAGUCAGUGUGAUCUAGCUAUGACAAUAGCAGUGAUGACCCUUGUGAUUUGCAGAGAGAAAAAUUGAUUUGGGAGAGAAGAGAAGAAAGCUGCAUUACGAGUAACAACGACAUCGAUUAGGUUAUGUUAUGAUAAAAUCGGAAACUUCGGAAACCAAAAUGUCUGAGACACAAGAAAAGCUAAAUUACGAUGACACGAAUUCCUUGAUCUGAGUCGUCUUUAUCAGAUUACUUUUCCAAUGAAGGAACAAGAGUUAAAAACAAGAAUCAAAAAGCUAAAUCAUCCAUACCCAGCAAAACGAACGAUUUCGCAAAACCCUAAAUCACCGACUCCAUAAAGACGAUACAAUGAGAAAUUGCACUCAUAGGAGUAUGAAUCCCCGAAUCAAUUCCGUUAUCCAGAAAGAACAAACCCUGAGUCUCAGUGCCUUCGAAUUUGCUUG